UACGUAGGUGGCAAGCGUUAAUCGGAUUUACUGGGCGUAAAGCGUGCGUAGGUGGUUUGAUAAGUCGGUUGUGAAAGCCCCGGGCUCAACCUGGGAAUUGCGGCCGAUACUGUCAGACUAGAAAACGGUAGAGGGAGGUGGAACUCCAGGUGUAGCGGUGAAAUGCGUAGGUAUCUGGAAGAACACCGAUGGCGAAGGCAGCCUCCUGGGCCUGUUUUGACACUGAGGCACGAAAGCGUGGGUAGCAAACAGG
This 253-nucleotide ribosomal RNA is filed under the name uncultured bacterium. RNAcentral's name for it is "partial 16S ribosomal RNA". It matches the Rfam family "Bacterial small subunit ribosomal RNA", at positions 524 to 776 of the family's 1533-position model. The record is from RNAcentral.